Molecule: ribosomal RNA, 157 nt
Filed under: uncultured bacterium
Lineage: Bacteria
Description: partial 16S ribosomal RNA
Rfam family: Bacterial small subunit ribosomal RNA
Source: RNAcentral
UGAGGAAUAUUGGUCAAUGGGCGAGAGCCUGAACCAGCCAAGUCGCGUGAGGGAAGACGGUCCUAUGGNUUGUAAACCUCUUUUGCCGGGGAGCAAAGAGCGGCACGUGUGCCGCGCCGAGAGUACCCGGAGAAAAAGCAUCGGCUAACUCCGUGCC